AUCCCGGGGCUGGAGAAGGUCCCAAGGGUUCGGCUGUUCGCCGAUUAAAGUGGCACGCGAGCUGGGUUCAGAACGUCGCGAGACAGUUCGGUCCCUAUCUGUUGUGGGCGUUAGAAACUUGCGAGGAGCUGACUCUAGUACGAGAGGACCGAGUUGGACGAACCUCUAGUGUACCUGCUGUGGUGCCAACUGCAUCGCAGGGUAGCUAUGUUCGGAUGAGAUAAGUGCUGAAAGCAUCUAAGUACGAAGCUCACCUCAAGAUGAGGUUUCUUUUAAGGGUCGUUAUAGACGAUGACGUUGAUAGGUUGCAGAUGUAUAAGUAGAAAUACUACAGUUGAGCAAUACUAAUUACCCGUAAACUUCUAUAG
This 368-nucleotide ribosomal RNA is filed under the name Bacteroidales bacterium. Its description in RNAcentral is "partial 23S ribosomal RNA". It matches the Rfam family "Bacterial large subunit ribosomal RNA", at positions 2544 to 2925 of the family's 2925-position model. The record is from RNAcentral. Lineage: Bacteria; Pseudomonadati; Bacteroidota; Bacteroidia; Bacteroidales.